GCGAGAGUGGCGAAAUUGGCAGACGCGCUAGACUUAGGAUCUAGUGCCGCAAGGUGUGGGGGUUCGAGUCCCCCCUCUCGCA
RNAcentral lists this transfer RNA (82 nucleotides) under Ignavibacteriota bacterium. RNAcentral's name for it is "Ignavibacteriae bacterium tRNA-Leu". It matches the Rfam family "tRNA". Rfam says of the family: Transfer RNA (tRNA) molecules are approximately 80 nucleotides in length. Their secondary structure includes four short double-helical elements and three loops (D, anti-codon, and T loops). Lineage: Bacteria; Pseudomonadati; Ignavibacteriota. RNAcentral also lists the same sequence under 1 other name. The record is from RNAcentral.